This is a long non-coding RNA of Esox lucius (northern pike), 710 nucleotides long. Lineage: Eukaryota; Metazoa; Chordata; Actinopteri; Esociformes; Esocidae. The record is from Ensembl.
CUCACGCCAAAUUCUGACUCUACCAUCUGAAUGUCUCAACAGAAAUUGAGACUCAUCAGACCAGGCAACAUUCUUCCAGUCUUCAACUGUCCAAUUUUGGCACGCCGUGUAACAUCUUGGUACUGUGGCAGAUCGCCAGCAGGAAGAGCAACUCGUCUACUUCUGACAUCUUCAUCUUUAACCUGGCCGUCCUGGACACAUACUUCUGCCUCAUGGGGCCAAUAGAUAUCAUCAACAGGCUGGUACUGGACCACCAAGGCAUCUGGUACUUCCAACGCUUUGCUUAUGGGCUCAAAGACAGUGCACCGCUCUUCCUGGUGUGUAUCUGUCUGGACCGCUAUGUCGCCGUGGUCCACCCUGUGUUGUUUACAGGUAUCCGUGACAACAGGAUCCGCAUUGGUGUCUCUGUGUUCACAUGGGGCCUUAUCGUGGCCUACGCCCUCACCAAGAGCAUUCUGGGAGCCAUGUCUGUCAACGAGAUCUUCAGUGUGCUCAUCCUGUUCUCCUUUGCCCUAAUGAUCUACUGUAACCUCUCCAUCGCAUGGGUCCUACGCCGCUCUGUGGCUGGGAAGGAGGUGAUGCACCCGGUGAAGAAGAAAGCAUUCAAAAUGGUGCUGGUCAUCUUGGGUAUCAUCUUCUUCAACUACCUUCCCCCCGUUGCUCUUGUCCCGUUCUUCUCGUACUACACAUUUAUCCAGUUCCAAUGUCAG